Molecule: long non-coding RNA, 160 nt
Organism: Impatiens glandulifera
Lineage: Eukaryota; Viridiplantae; Streptophyta; Magnoliopsida; Ericales; Balsaminaceae
Exons: 3
Source: RefSeq, a predicted model, not a curated record
UAGUUUAUCCCAGUUACGAUUCACUACUUGGAAAGCUUAUUGCGUGGGCUCCAACUAGGGAGAGGGCAAUUGAAAGAAUGAAGAGGGCUCUCAAUGACACCAUAAUCACAGGGGUUCCAACAACAAUUGACUAUCACAAACUUAUUCUCGACAUUGAGGU